Molecule: ribosomal RNA, 468 nt
Filed under: uncultured bacterium
Lineage: Bacteria
Description: partial 16S ribosomal RNA
Rfam family: Bacterial small subunit ribosomal RNA
Source: RNAcentral
GACGAACGCUGGCGGCGUGCCUAACACAUGCAAGUCGAACGAAAAGGCCCUGCUUUUGUGGGUUGCUCGAGUGGCGAAGGGGUGUGUAACACGCGAGUAUCCUGCCCUUGACUUUGGGAUAACUUCAGGAAACUGGGGCUAAUAUCGCAUAGAAGCUCCUGCUGCAUGGUGGGGGUUGGAAAAUUUCGGCGGUUGGGGAUGGACUCGCGGCUUAUCAGCUUGUUGGUGGGGUAGUGGCUUACCAAGGCUUUGACGGGUAGCCGGCCUGAGAGGGUGACCGGGCACAUUGGGACUGAGAUAGGGCCCAGACUGCUACGGGAGGCAGCAGUGGGGAAUUUUGCAGAAUGGGCGGAAGCCUGAUGCAGCAACGUCGGGUGCGGGAUGACGGCCUUCGGGUUAUAAACCGAUUUCGCCUGUGACGAAGCGUGAGUGACGGUAAUGGGUAAAGAAGCACCGGCUAACUACGUG